RNAcentral lists this unclassified non-coding RNA (244 nucleotides) under Hevea brasiliensis (rubber tree). The record is from RNAcentral. Lineage: Eukaryota; Viridiplantae; Streptophyta; Magnoliopsida; Malpighiales; Euphorbiaceae.
UGCCCGCUGUUGUUGACUGACAAUCCUUUUUGGAGUGCACAUUAUACGAGUCAUUAUAUUAUCUACGACAUAAACAAAAGGGAGGACAAAUAAAUAAAUGAGAAACAAAUGAUAAUGCGACCAUUAUAUUAAAUAAUGCAAUAAAUGGAACUAUCAUCACUAUCAAGGGGGUAAGCAAUGUGGGAGAUAAUGUACUUGAUAAUAAUACAUGUUACAUUUACACACAUAAAAUUAAAACAUAAAA